RNAcentral lists this non-coding RNA (25 nucleotides) under Mus musculus (house mouse). The record is from RNAcentral. Lineage: Eukaryota; Metazoa; Chordata; Mammalia; Rodentia; Muridae.
UGAGACCAUGGUGACAGAAAGUGAG